GACAGCAUCCUAUUUGGCAACAAACGACGUCAUUUUGCUUGCCACGUUAGACUCGUGUAUUUGGAAAAAUGCUUUCAUUCACGUUGAAAAUCAAAACCUGAAUAAAGCGAAGCCGGAUUCCCCAAUUGAGUUCCCACCCAAUCCAGUAGAAAGAACCCUAGAUUUCGAUUUGCCCAAAUUGCUUCCCUUACGAUUUCGAAAACCCCACAUCAGAUGAUUUCUAAUCCCUAAUCUCCCAUUCCUCCGUAAUCCUCAUUUGUUCAUAACCCAAACCUUCAGAAACAUGAAGGAGAAAAUCAGUCGACUCGACCAUUUCCGCACGGUGAAUAGCUGCUCAAAUACUAGAAGAAAGGCAAGCGGAGAUAUCUAUGAACAUAACUAUUCGCACGGGAAAAGCAGCUAUGGAGUAUAAUGGGAAAGAGAAGGGAAAAGUUUCGUGAAUUUGUUCCAACUAUGUGACAAUGAAAAAAGUUCGUUGUAUUUGUCAAACUCCAUGUUUAUGUAAUCAGCCGUGAAUAUGUCACAAAUUAUAUUUGUUGUAAAAACAAGAAUCUUAUUUUGGUUAUGUUUAUCAUGUUUAUGUAA
Olea europaea var. sylvestris is the source of this 585-nucleotide long non-coding RNA. RefSeq lists it as uncharacterized. The transcript is spliced from 2 exons. The record is from RefSeq and is a predicted model, not a curated record. Lineage: Eukaryota; Viridiplantae; Streptophyta; Magnoliopsida; Lamiales; Oleaceae.